Molecule: unclassified non-coding RNA, 329 nt
Filed under: soil metagenome
Description: partial contains 5.8S ribosomal RNA, internal transcribed spacer 2, and large subunit ribosomal RNA
Rfam family: 5.8S ribosomal RNA (bases 1-120)
Source: RNAcentral
GAUGAAGAACGUAGCGAAAUGCGAUAAGUAAUGGGAAUUGCAGAAUUCAGUGAAUCAUCGAAUCUUUGAACGCACAUUGCGCCCCCUGGUAUUCCGGGGGGCAUGCCUGUCCGAGCGUCAUUACAACCCUCAAGCUCAGCUUGGUGUUGGGCCCCGCCGCCCCGGCGGGCCCUAAAGUCAGUGGCGGUGCCGUCCGGCUCCGAGCGUAGUAAUUCUUCUCGCUCUGGAGGUCCGGUCGUGUGCUCGCCAGCAACCCCCAAUUUUUUUCAGGUUGACCUCGGAUCAGGUAGGGAUACCCGCUGAACUUAAGCAUAUCAAUAAGCGGAGGA